Molecule: long non-coding RNA, 801 nt
Filed under: Equus asinus (donkey)
Lineage: Eukaryota; Metazoa; Chordata; Mammalia; Perissodactyla; Equidae
Description: lncRNA (ENSEASG00005032659.1)
Source: RNAcentral
GAGACCCAGCCGGGAGUGGCGGGUGCCUUUUACCGACCCGGGACCCCCGAGAGAGAGGGCGGCAGGGAGGGACUCCAGGGGAGCAGCGGGGAGCUGUAUUCCCUCUUUCCUAGGGACUAGAGUCCUGCGGAAAGAAGACGUGCUUGGAAGGCUGGAGGCCGGUCCCGCGUCUGCCACUGACGGGCGGGGUGGUCUUGGGUUAAUUUCCUCGGCUCUCGGGGCCUGGGAGACGUAGACUAGAACUAGAAGGCCUUCCAGUUCAGGGUCUGCGUUUUCCCAAAGUGGGUUAAACAGCCUCCGACCGUCCAUCGUCCAUGGGCUCGAUAAGCGGAUCUUGGGGGACAGAGACUCAGCCCCAAGGACAUUUCCUUGGAUGUCCAUUGCCUAAGUGGAAGUAGGGAAAGAGGAGUAAGACCUGUUGGAGUUACUAAGGAUUAGCCCUAAGCUAACAUCUGCCAAUCCUCCUCUUUUUGUUGAGGAAGACUGGCCCUGAGCUAACAUCCGUGCCCAUCUUCCUCUACUUUAUACGUGGGACGCCUACCACAGCAUGGCUUGCCAAGCGGUGCCCUGUCUGCACCCGGGAUCCGAACCAGCGAACCCCAGGCUGCUGAAGUGGAACAUGCGAACUUAACCGCUGUGCCACCUGGCCGGCCCCUAGAUUUCCUUUUAGUUGAGGACUUGAAGUUAUUUCUACUAAAAUAAAUAAAGGAAGUCUUGCAUUCCAUCAACUUGUGUGUAAUUGUCUCCCGAUCAAAGUCAUCUCCUGCUGACUUCAGUUUUAUUUCAUCUUAAAUCAUUUUC